Molecule: ribosomal RNA, 253 nt
Filed under: uncultured bacterium
Lineage: Bacteria
Description: partial 16S ribosomal RNA
Rfam family: Archaeal small subunit ribosomal RNA
Source: RNAcentral
UACCAGCACCCCGAGUGGUCGGGGCGAUUAUUGGGCCUAAAGCAUCCGUAGCCGGCCUUACAAGUCCUCCGUUAAAUCCAGCUGCUUAACAGAUGGGCUGCGGAGGAUACUAUAAGACUAGGAAGCAGGAGAGGCAAGCGGUACUCAGUGGGUAGGGGUAAAAUCCGUUGAUCCAUUGAAGACCACCAGUGGCGAAGGCGGCUUGCCAGAAUGCGCUCGACGGUGAGGGAUGAAAGCUGGGGGAGCAAACCGG